UAGCCUACGGGACGCAGCAGUGAGGAAUAUUGGUCAAUGGGCGGGAGCCUGAACCAGCCAAGUCGCGUGAAGGAAGAAGGUACUUAGUAUUGUAAACUUCUUUUGUCGGGGAACAAAGGCGGAGACGCGUCUCCGGAUGAGUGUACCCGAAGAAAAAGCAUCGGCUAACUCCGUGCCAGCAGCCGCGGUAAUACGGAGGAUGCGAGCGUUAUCCGGAUUUAUUGGGUUUAAAGGGUGCGCAGGCGGGAGAUCAAGUCAGCGGUAAAAUGUCGGGGUUCAACCCCGUCGAGCCGUUGAAACUGGCG
This 305-nucleotide ribosomal RNA is filed under the name uncultured bacterium. RNAcentral's name for it is "bacterial SSU rRNA". It matches the Rfam family "Bacterial small subunit ribosomal RNA", at positions 334 to 638 of the family's 1533-position model. The record is from RNAcentral.